RNAcentral lists this transfer RNA (90 nucleotides) under Acidobacteriota bacterium. RNAcentral describes it as "tRNA-Ser". It matches the Rfam family "tRNA". From Rfam's summary of the family: Transfer RNA (tRNA) molecules are approximately 80 nucleotides in length. The record is from RNAcentral. Lineage: Bacteria; Pseudomonadati; Acidobacteriota.
GGAGAGGUGGCAGAGUGGCUGAAUGCACCUGACUCGAAAUCAGACGUACUCGCAAGGGUACCGGGGGUUCAAAUCCCUCCCUCUCCGCCA